GUUAAGCUGCCCAGUGUCAGCAGCUUCUCAGAACUAGGCAGUAGUCCCCUGGUUGGAGGGAAGGGGUGACAGCCCUGCAGGAUGCAUUCUCUUUUGGGGUGCUGGGAGUCGAACCAGACUCUCCUAUGUGCUAGGCCAGCGCUGUGACGCUGAGCUGCAUUUCCAGAACUUUUGCCGGCAUCCUUCACAGUGAAUCCACGUGUGUAAUUUUACUCAUCAGGACCUCAGAGUGAAGAAGAUUCACUUUUAUAUUAAAGCGAUUAGGCCAGCUAAGCGGUAGUGGAAGCCUGUAAUCCCAGCACUUGGGAGGCUGAGGCAGGAGGAUCUCUGUGUGAAAGGUGCGAAGUGUGACUUUGCCAUUUCAAGACACACACAAGCAGCCAUUGCACCGAGGUGACUGCAGGCAGCGUGGAGAAGCAUUUUGAUUGCAGUGGCUUAGCUGGCUUCGUGCAGAGCUUCACUGGAUGACACCUUGAUCCUGAUAUCGAGAGGGAAAGUGGCAGAAGGGACAUGGGCGCCAUCCAGAUUAUUGUGACACAGGGCAGUGAAUGACAAGGAAAAUGUUUUUAGAUCACAACAAAAGCAAUAAUUCACUGAAUAGGUGCAAUGAAUAUAAGUUCUUGAAUUGUUCGCUAAUUCAAGUAAUAAAAGUUACCGAAGGGCCGGGGAUUUAGCUCAGUGGUUUUGCUGUCUGCUGCGCAAACGCAAGGACCCGAGUUUGAUCCCGGUACCAAAAACAAAAAACAAACAAACAAAAAAGACACUGAAGGGCCAGGGAUUUAGCUCAGAGGUUUCAUCGCCGGCUGCGUAAGCUCAAGGACCCAAGUUUGAUCCCCGGUACCAAAAAAAAAAAAAAAAAAAAAAAAGACACUGAAGCAGAAGAUUUCAAUUUAUGGUUAAUUUACAUAAAAUGUUGACAGAUGGAGUGAAUAUACAGUGAACCCUCAAGUUACGACCGGCCUGACAUAUGAACAACUUGGGUUAUGAACAGAAUGAUAGUUUUUAACUUGCGACCAAGUCUUGAGCCAGCUGCUUCUGUUUCCAGAUGGUGUCAGAUACAGAUGUAACCCUUAAAGAGUCUGGAAGGAACAUGGGAACAUCCUUUCCUGUGUAGGGUUAACUGAGAAAUCCUGGGCUGAUGUCUCUCUAAGGACACUGAGAUCCGCCUGUGUACAGGAGAGAGACUCUGCAGGCUGCGGAGAGGAGGCUGACCCUUCAGUGACCAACCUGAGUUACAACCAGUCUUCUCCAAUGAAUUGAGUUUGUAUGUCAAGGAUCCACUUUAAUCAUAACACACCACGGUGACAGCAAAGCCAAACUGGUUCGUGCAUGUCUGAUUCAGCAUAUUAAUUACAGCAUAAGAAAAUUGAAGCCUGGCAUGGUGGCACACUCCUGAUAUCCCAGCACUCAGGAGGCUGAGGCAGGAGGAUGGCUGUGAGAUCAAGGCCAGCCUGAGCUACAUAGUGAGUUUAAGGUCAGCCUGGACUAUAUAGUAAAACCAUGUCUCCAAGACAAACAAAUACGAGAGAGAGAAAAGGAUAUCCCUAGAGAAGCAGAUGAGAGUUAAAAAUCUUCCUUUGGUUGGUUGUUCUGCUAUUUUACUAUGGGUGCAAAUUUUGAAGAAUAUAGGCAGUAUGUCUGUGAUUGUACAGUUGCAGAGAAAUGUAUUACCACAUCGUCUAGAGAUCUGCUUUUCCAAAUCUGGUACUUACACAUGAUGGAGUACUACUCUGCCAGAAAGAAGGAUAAACUUGAGUCUUUUGUAGGGAA
Molecule: long non-coding RNA, 1770 nt
Filed under: Heterocephalus glaber (naked mole-rat)
Lineage: Eukaryota; Metazoa; Chordata; Mammalia; Rodentia; Bathyergidae
Description: lncRNA (ENSHGLG00100043493.1)
Source: RNAcentral